UGUAUAUUUUCUUUUAUUUAUUUUUUACAGCAUUUCCAAAUUGUUUCUGAAAAUAGAAGGCUUAAAAGUGCCCCUAUUUUAUGAUUUUGACACUUCAAUGAAAUUACGUUCAUACGCAUGUGCGAGAAAAAACGUCUUUAAUAAGAACAAUAAAUGAUUUUAGAUUCUAAUCGACUUGACAUAUUAAAAAAGGGGGGUAGAGUGAAAGUGAGAAAAAAUUUAUUAUACUAAAAUAAAGUGAUUAUGGUGAACAAUUGUUGUAUCAAAGGCUGCAAGAAUAUUUGGCAACCAUAUAGCAAUGUAACUUAUCACAAAUUUCCAGUAAGAGAUGUGGAAAGAUUUGCAAAAUGGAUGUCAAUCGACCAGUUGCGAGACAUAAAAGUGACUUCAACAAAACGCAUUUGUAGUGAACAUUUUACUCCGCAAUCUUUUGAGGAAUACGGCGUACUGAAAAGAUUAAAAAAAGAUGCAAUUCCUACUAUUUUUGGAGACACUCUUUAUAAUAUAGAUGAUAAUCUCACAGAAGCAGAUGAUAUAGAAACACAUGAUAUUACAAUCUAUUUAGAUGAUAUAUGUGAAAAGCAAAUGGAAGUGUUGGAUGAGGUUUCAAAACCAGAUGCGCAAGAAGCCUCAGCAUUAAAUAAAAAAGAUAACCUUUCAACUUGCUGGCUGACUGGGUUUUUUGAAGUGGAUAAUAUUUUGGAUAAAAAAAAAUUCAUGACAUACGAGGAUAAGAUUUUUAAUGUAAAACAAAUUCAAGAAGGGAAAUUACAAAGCGAUAUUUUAAAAAUAGCAUUUCAAAAAAAUGUUUAUAUAUAAAAAGAAAAACGAAAUUGCAAUUUUAUCAAAUGACACAGAAUUUAAGAAUACGAAAUAAACAUUCUUGCCUAGAUGGAAAAUUAAAAGAAUGUUUAAAUAAAUGGCUUCUUCAAACAAAAGCAUUAGAAGAAUCAUUUUCAAGACUAAUUUUAUAAACAAAAACUUUGCAAUUAAAUUAUUUAUUCACAAACUCUUCAGAUUUUAAAAAUACGGGCACAGAAAAAAGUAUGCAUGUUUCUAUUCAAACAUCAUAUACAUAUUUUAUGGAACGUAAAAAAAUGUUACAUUUGCAGAAAAAAGUAAAAACAUUGCAACAACAACUAAAACGAAGAAAUUCAAGAAUUGCCAAUAUGCAAAAAAUUAUUUAUCAUUUAAAAAAAGCUAAUCUAAAUAAAAAAGAUGUAUAUAAGGUCUCAAGGACUGAUCUCUGUUCUAAUUGGAAGGAACACAGUUAUUGUUUUCGCAUUACAUGAGAAUUCCGAGAAGAUAAUUAUAAAAGGAAAAAAAAAGUUAUUUUUUUUAAUAUAUUAAAAAUCUUUAUUCAAUGAAAAGAUGAUGGAAUAUCAAUCUUUGAUUAGCAUUGCACACACAGAAUU
RNA transcript from Camponotus floridanus (Florida carpenter ant), 1415 nucleotides. It is a transcript of the gene named THAP domain-containing protein 1, with no coding region annotated. NCBI's taxonomy places the organism in Eukaryota, Metazoa, Arthropoda, Insecta, Hymenoptera, Formicidae. The record is from RefSeq and is a predicted model, not a curated record. The transcript is spliced from 8 exons.